RNAcentral lists this ribosomal RNA (490 nucleotides) under uncultured bacterium. Its description in RNAcentral is "partial 16S ribosomal RNA". It matches the Rfam family "Bacterial small subunit ribosomal RNA", at positions 30 to 507 of the family's 1533-position model. The record is from RNAcentral.
AUUGAACGCUGGCGGCAGGCCUAACACAUGCAAGUCGAACGGUAGCAGGAAGAAGCUUGCUUCUUUGCUGACGAGUGGCGGACGGGUGAGUAAUGUCUGGGAAACUGCCUGAUGGAGGGGGAUAACUACUGGAAACGGUAGCUAAUACCGCAUAACGUCGCAAGACCAAAAAGGGGGACCUUCGGGCCUCUUGCCAUCGGAUGUGCCCAGAUGGGAUUAGCUAGUAGGUGGGGUAACGGCUCACCUAGGCGACGAUCCCUAGCUGGUCUGAGAGGAUGACCAGCCACACUGGAACUGAGACACGGUCCAGACUCCUACGGGAGGCAGCAGUGGGGAAUAUUGCACAAUGGGCGCAAGCCUGAUGCAGCCAUGCCGCGUGUAUGAAGAAGGCCUUCGGGUUGUAAAGUACUUUCAGCGGGGAGGAAGGGAGUAAAGUUAAUACCUUUGCUCAUUGACGUUACCCGCAGAAGAAGCACCGGCUAACUCCGUG